Molecule: ribosomal RNA, 144 nt
Filed under: Escherichia coli
Lineage: Bacteria; Pseudomonadati; Pseudomonadota; Gammaproteobacteria; Enterobacterales; Enterobacteriaceae
Also listed under: 1 other name
Description: partial 23S ribosomal RNA
Rfam family: Bacterial large subunit ribosomal RNA
Source: RNAcentral
GGGUUGUGAGGUUAAGCGACUAAGCGUACACGGUGGAUGCCCUGGCAGUCAGAGGCGAUGAAGGACGUGCUAAUCUGCGAUAAGCGUCGGUAAGGUGAUAUGAACCGUUAUAACCGGCGAUUUCCGAAUGGGGAAACCCAGUGU